GAGUUUGAUCCUGGCUCAGAACGAACGCUGGCGGCAGCCUAAUACAUGCGAGUCGAGCGAUAAAGGUACUUCGGUACUGAUUAAAGCGGCGCACGGGUUAGUAACGCGUGGGAACAUACCUAUCAGAGGGGGAUAACUAUUGGAAACGAUAGCUAAUACCGCAUACGCCCUACGGGGGAAAGAUUUUUCGCUGAUAGAUUGGCCCGCGUUAGAUUAGCUAGUUGGUGAGGUAAGAGCUCACCAAGGCAACGAUCUAUAGCUGGUUUUAGAGAAUGAUCAGCAACACUGGAACUGAGACACGGUCCAGACUCCUACGGGAGGCAGCAGUAGGGAAUAUUGCACAAUGGGGGAAACCCUGAUGCAGCCAUGCCGCGUGAGUGAAGAAGGCUUUAGGGUUGUAAAGCUCUUUCAGAUGUGAGGAUGAUGACGUUAACAUCAGAAGAAGCCCCGGCUAACUUCGUGCCAGCAGCCGCGGUAAUACGAAGGGGGCAAGCGUUGUUCGGAAUUACUGGGCGUAAAGGGCGCGUAGGCGGAUAUACCAGUUAGGGGUGAAAUCCCAGGGCUCAACCCUGGAACUGCCUUUAAUACGAUAUAUCUAGAGAUUGUGAGGGGAUAGCGGAAUAUCUAGUGUAGGGGUGAAAUCCGUAGAUAUUAGAUGGAACACCAGAGGCGAAGGCGGCUAUCUGGCACAAUACUGACGCUGAGGCGCGAAAGCGUAGGUAGCAAACAGGAUUAGAUACCCUGGUAGUCUACGCCGUAAACGAUGUGUACUAGUUGUCUGGGUUUAACCUGGGUAACGCAGCUAACGCAUUAAGUACACCGCCUGGGGAGUACGGUCGCAAGAUUAAAACUCAAAGGAAUGACG
RNAcentral lists this ribosomal RNA (865 nucleotides) under uncultured bacterium. RNAcentral's name for it is "bacterial SSU rRNA". It matches the Rfam family "Bacterial small subunit ribosomal RNA", at positions 9 to 915 of the family's 1533-position model. The record is from RNAcentral.